GAUUUCUGGAGGUAAAUAUGCCUCUUGACCUCUUUCCAGAUCACUGCUACUCCAACCCCUAGAGGGUAAUUGUUUUUCUUCCCCGGUGAGUGAAAGCUUGUCAAAACCUUCCACCACAUCGACUUCCGCGUAGAUGACAGGGGCACCUAGAUCCCUUUACACCCAAACAACAGCACAAAGAGAAAGAGAGGAAGCUAAAGUAUGGGUUGUUUCCUUCCUUCUUCCCCAAAAUUUCCUGAGUUCACAGGCAUAUACAUCAUGA
RNAcentral lists this long non-coding RNA (262 nucleotides) under Rhinopithecus bieti (black snub-nosed monkey). RNAcentral describes it as "lncRNA (ENSRBIG00000045081.1)". Lineage: Eukaryota; Metazoa; Chordata; Mammalia; Primates; Cercopithecidae. The record is from RNAcentral.